GACGAACGCUGGCGGCGUGCCUAAUACAUGCAAGUCGAACGAGAGCGACCGGUGCUUGCACUGGUCAAUCUAGUGGCGAACGGGUGAGUAACACGUGGGUAACCUGCCCAUCAGAGGGGGAUAACAUCCGGAAACGGAUGCUAAAACCGCAUAGGUCUUCGAGCCGCAUGGCUUGAAGAGGAAAAGAGGCGCAAGCUUCUGCUGAUGGAUGGUCCCGCGGUGCAUUAGCUAGUUGGUGAGGUAACGGCUCACCAAGGCCGUGAUGCAUAGCCGACCUGAGAGGGUGAUCGGCCACAUUGGGACUGAGACACGGCCCAAACUCCUACGGGAGGCAGCAGUAGGGAAUCUUCCGCAAUGGACGCAAGUCUGACGGAGCAACGCCGCGUGAGUGAAGAAGGUUUUCGGAUCGUAAAACUCUGUUGUUAGAGAAGAACAAGUGCUAGAGUAACUGUUAGCGUCUUGACGGUAUCUAACCAGAAAGCCACGGCUAACUACGUG
RNAcentral lists this ribosomal RNA (498 nucleotides) under uncultured bacterium. Its description in RNAcentral is "partial 16S ribosomal RNA". It matches the Rfam family "Bacterial small subunit ribosomal RNA", at positions 28 to 507 of the family's 1533-position model. The record is from RNAcentral.